Molecule: ribosomal RNA, 253 nt
Filed under: uncultured bacterium
Lineage: Bacteria
Description: partial 16S ribosomal RNA
Rfam family: Bacterial small subunit ribosomal RNA
Source: RNAcentral
UACGAAGGGUGCAAGCGUUACUCGGAAUUACUGGGCGUAAAGCGUGCGUAGGCGGUUUGUUAAGUCAGAUGUGAAAGCCCCGGGCUCAACCUGGGAAUUGCAUUUGAUACUGGCAGGCUAGAGUGUGGUAGAGGGUGGUGGGAUUCCCGGUGUAGCGGUGAAAUGCGUAGAGAUCGGGAGGAACAUCUGUGGCGAAGGCGGCCACCUGGACCAACACUGACGCUGAGGCACGAAAGCGUGGGGAGCAAACAGG